RNAcentral lists this long non-coding RNA (1017 nucleotides) under Mus spicilegus (steppe mouse). RNAcentral's name for it is "lncRNA (ENSMSIG00000028095.1)". The record is from RNAcentral. Lineage: Eukaryota; Metazoa; Chordata; Mammalia; Rodentia; Muridae.
UUGUCACCCACCAUGAGGUUGCUGGGAAUUGAACUUAGGACCUCUGGAAGAGCAUCUAGUUCUCUUAACCACUGAGCCAUCUCUCCAGUCCUUGUGGAGGUUUUAAAGAAUCUCAGAAUUUUGAUUGUACACAAUGGAACUAGGAACAUGGUCCUGGACCAACACGAGUGGAGAAGAGCCUCUUGCUGGCUUGUGUCUGCCUGUGGGGAAGGAGGAUGUGCACUGCCCUGGAACUUCCUGACACCCUCACAUCACUUACCGAGAGCUGAACAGGUUGGAGUGGUAACGCUGUGAACAUGUCGGGAGACUUGUCAAAUCUGGAGACAUUUCUACUAAAGCCUCUCAUGUCUAUGACCUUUCAGGUUUCCAAGCACAGCAGGUUUUCUUGAGCCUUGUGAGUGUUACCACUCAGUAGCCACUACCUACAUCCUCUUGGUGCUUGGCUCUGUGAGCUCCAUUUGUCUCUCUGGAAAACACCACACUUUCAGAGAGCAGAGGAUUUUCCAGAAUUCACCAUAUAGCUGAUGUCUAGAUCUUGCAAACUUUUUUUCCACCUCUUCUAAAAUGUUCUCUGAACUUAGGGCUAGCGAAGGUGUUACAUCAUUGCUCUUUUAGGGCUAAGCAGUCCAUAGUCACUUAAGCUGUGCACCUUGACCAGUUGGUUGUGGCUCUAUGUGUCAAGACCUCCCGCUGCAGUUGUAAGGUGAGUUUGUAUUUAUGUAUUUGUUAUUUAUUAUUUAAGGAUAUCAUAGAUCUAUACAAUAUAUUUUUAUAUUUACCCCACAUUCAUUCCCUCAACUUCUCCCUAACUCUCCCCUAAAACAUCCCUUAAUAACUUUAUGCCUUUUAUUUUGAAACCUUUGAGUCCAUUUAGUGUCACCUGUAUGUUCAUGGGUGUGGGUCUGUCCACUGGAGCAUGGGCAACCUAUCAGGAACCAAUACCCCUAAAGAAAAAUGAUCCCUGAUACUCAGGAGCCAUCAACUGCCAAAUAUGACUUCAGCUACCAGUGAGGCCUC